GGCUCGUUGGUCUAGGGGUAUGAUUCUCGCUUUGGUUGCGAGAGGUCUCGGGUUCAAAUCCCGGACGAGCCC
This 72-nucleotide transfer RNA is filed under the name Saccoglossus kowalevskii. Its description in RNAcentral is "tRNA-Pro". It matches the Rfam family "tRNA". Rfam says of the family: Transfer RNA (tRNA) molecules are approximately 80 nucleotides in length. Their secondary structure includes four short double-helical elements and three loops (D, anti-codon, and T loops). Further hydrogen bonds mediate the characteristic L-shaped molecular structure. tRNAs have two regions of fundamental functional importance: the anti-codon, which is responsible for specific mRNA codon recognition, and the 3' end, to which the tRNAs corresponding amino acid is attached (by aminoacyl-tRNA synthetases). tRNAs cope with the degeneracy of the genetic code in two manners: having more than one tRNA (with a specific anti-codon) for a particular amino acid; and 'wobble' base-pairing, i.e. permitting non-standard base-pairing at the 3rd anti-codon position. Lineage: Eukaryota; Metazoa; Hemichordata; Enteropneusta; Harrimaniidae. The record is from RNAcentral.